UGGACAUUACCAACAAUAAUAUUUAGGACUUCCUAUCAAGAAGGUAUUUGACUGAAAGUAAAUAGUCCAUUCUUAUUGGAUAUUAAGUACGUUUACUUAUUAAAACCGUUAGAUGCUAUAGGAUAGUUUUAAAUUUUAGAGUUGUUUUCAUAUUCUUUUGAAAGUUCUUCUGUAUCAUGACAUUGGCAUUGGAGGUUGGGGAAUACCUCCUAAUUAAAGAAAGAGUCAAAUUGACACUGAAGGAUAGGAUCUUAGGUUCAUCGAACUUCACUAAUUUUGUGAUAUGUGUUGACUGCAUAAAGGUAAAACUGUCAUAUAUAUUUAAGAAAGAGUCCCA
This 337-nucleotide long non-coding RNA is filed under the name Elaeis guineensis (African oil palm). RNAcentral's name for it is "long non-coding RNA (EGUI_LNC022209)". The record is from RNAcentral. Lineage: Eukaryota; Viridiplantae; Streptophyta; Magnoliopsida; Arecales; Arecaceae.